RNAcentral lists this ribosomal RNA (253 nucleotides) under uncultured bacterium. RNAcentral's name for it is "partial 16S ribosomal RNA". It matches the Rfam family "Bacterial small subunit ribosomal RNA", at positions 524 to 776 of the family's 1533-position model. The record is from RNAcentral.
UACGGAGGGUGCAAGCGUUAUCCGGAUUCACUGGGUUUAAAGGGUGCGUAGGUGGCUUUGUAAGUCAGUGGUGAAAUCUUAGAGCUUAACUCUAAAACUGCCAUUGAUACUGCUUAGCUUGAAUCAAGUCGAGGUGGAUGGAAUAUUACAUGUAGCGGUGAAAUGCUUAGAUAUGUAAUAGAACACCGAUUGCGAAGGCGGCAUCCUGGACCAAUAUUGACGCUGAGGAGCGAAAGCCAGGGGAGCAAACGGG